Pectinophora gossypiella (pink bollworm) is the source of this 675-nucleotide long non-coding RNA. RefSeq lists it as uncharacterized. The transcript is spliced from 2 exons. Lineage: Eukaryota; Metazoa; Arthropoda; Insecta; Lepidoptera; Gelechiidae. The record is from RefSeq and is a predicted model, not a curated record.
GUACCGUCUCUUUCGUUCUUACUUGGAAUGACCGAAAUGGAGUGACUAUACGACUUGAAGUUCUUGCUGUUUCGAAGGAAAUUUGAGAUGGCUCUUCCGUUUCAACGCAGUGAUGACAACUUGACACGUUCUUCGCCGCUGCUUGGUUGGUACACGUUAUACGACGUAAAAUAAAAAGGCAAAAUACACCCUAAUAUGGCCGCAAAAAAUGGUUGCGAAAUUUUUGCAAUUCUGCAAUAUUGAUCACGGGUCGAAAAUAUAGACACCGUAUGAUGCAUAAAAUGAUGAAAUACACGUUGAAAAUUCUUCAAACUGUAGAUAUGAGGAUAACUUGGAACUCGCCACAGGGAAGGUCUUCUCCACACCGGUCGGUACUUUUGUGCCCAAAUGCAGCCUCCCACUCGCAGAUUCUUCGUAAUGACGCAAAUACGGUCGCAAAGAACGAGGGGAUCGUAUAUAGACGCAGCUUACUAUUUGUGCAGACUCACGUAUAUUCCGCCGGUAAUUUAGUGGAUAAAAAGGACUUAUAUUCCACUCGAAGGACUAAUUCAUCCGGCUCGAAGGACCAAUUCUUUUGUUUAGCACAAAGAUAAGUUUGAUAAUGAACUUCACUGAUUUUAAUUAAUUAAUUUUGUGGAAGUAAAAUAAAACCACCAUUAUAGUUACAUGGUUAAA